UAGUGGAGCUCCAAAUGACUGAUCCAUAAGCCUGAUACAACAAAUAUCAAAAUAUAUUUUUACUACAAUUUCUACUGAUCUCGCAAUCUGAUUGUCAUCACAGUGGUCAAAAUUUGUUGUGGACUCACUUGGCUGUGCUUCGUGACUCCACAACAUUUUGGCCACUGUGAUGAUGCGCAUCAUUGUCAAUAAGAGUACAGACCACGCUAAACCACAUUCGAUUUGUUAAAUUCAAACCAGUGAAGUCAUUUAUCAACAUCUAUGAACAAACAUUAUCAUAAUUUCAACUGUGGCAACAAACAGAACUUUUUUUCAGCAGAAUGGUAACUAGAGACAAAAGUAGAAACUUAUCCUUAGAUUAAAUUUCCAGAGUCAACAACUCUUUCAAUGGUAUAAUGAAUAUAAUAAUUAAGUCAGGUCGAGAUGGAUUGUCAUGCAUGGCUGACUGAGUUUUUCCUUCAAUGCAAAUUUCCUUCAUAUUUGCAUGAGCUUUCUUUCAAGGGAAUUGUUUAAGCUCAGAAAUUACCAGAGGCAUUGUGCACAACAAUUUAUACGUAGAUAGAGUUAAAAUUAAGCUUAAUUAUUGAGUUGCGUUUAUUUCAAGCACUGAUCAUGCUAAAAUCUAUGCUAUGACAAACACUUCAAUUUAAUGCACAAGACUUGACUGAGUAAGAAAAAAAUUAUCUUUGUCAACUUUUGUAAAUGAGUAAAUGUGAAUUGAAAAUAAAGUCUUGUCUUUUCUUAACGAAGAGCUUUGCCGAUCAAUUGUGAUUCAGUGAAGUGCAAUUAAUCUUCGACCAAAAUGUUUUCACUGCCGAGGAUCUGUCCUGCUAUGAAUAUACGCAAUUCAUAGCUCUUUAUGUAGCCACUGCUGCGUUUAAUUUACUUUUUAAACUCCGUUAUUCUCUGAAAAUUGAAAACAAAUGAACGAAAUUCAAAGACUUACCUUUCCUGGUCCAAAGCGCAUUGAAAAUUUCACCAGAUCCGCCAUAAUGAAGCCAAAUGAAGAAAAAUGUCUGCUUUCCUCACAGCCGACUUCGUUGACCUUUAGUCUCCUCCCUGAUUGGCCAGAAAAAUGCGGGAAGCCGCUGGCAACCGCGUUUUUCCCGCUGUUUUUCGAGCUGUUUUCGAGCUGUUUUCUUGUGCCCCCUCCCAGUCAAGUGAAAACUUUUUUAUUAAAAAAAUACACAUUGGCAAGAAAGCAAGCUUUCAUUUAAUCGUUAAAAC
Molecule: long non-coding RNA, 1227 nt
Organism: Orbicella faveolata
Lineage: Eukaryota; Metazoa; Cnidaria; Anthozoa; Scleractinia; Merulinidae
Source: RefSeq, a predicted model, not a curated record